RNAcentral lists this ribosomal RNA (481 nucleotides) under uncultured bacterium. RNAcentral describes it as "SSU rRNA". It matches the Rfam family "Bacterial small subunit ribosomal RNA", at positions 26 to 517 of the family's 1533-position model. The record is from RNAcentral.
AGGACGAACGCUGGCGGCGUGCCUAACACAUGCAAGUCGAACGCGCUCCAUUCGGUAGCAAUACUGAUGAAGAGCGAGUGGCGAACGGGUGAGUAGCACGUGAGCAACCUGCCCCGAAGACUGGGACAACACCGGGAAACCGGUGCUAAUACCGGAUAUCCCUAUCGGACCGCAUGAUCUGAUAAGGAAAUGGAUUCCGCUUCGGGAGGGGCUCGCGGCCUAUCAGCUAGUUGGUGAGGUAACGGCCCACCAAGGCAUCGACGGGUAGCUGGUCUGAGAGGACGAUCAGCCACACUGGGACUGAGACACGGCCCAGACUCCUACGGGAGGCAGCAGUGGGGAAUCUUGCGCAAUGGGCGAAAGCCUGACGCAGCAACGCCGCGUGGAGGACGAAGGCUUUCUGAGUUGUAAACUCCUUUCAGCAGGGACGAUAGUGACGGUACCUGCAGAAGAAGCACCGGCAACUACGCGCCAGCAGCCG